This 253-nucleotide ribosomal RNA is filed under the name uncultured bacterium. Its description in RNAcentral is "partial 16S ribosomal RNA". It matches the Rfam family "Bacterial small subunit ribosomal RNA", at positions 524 to 776 of the family's 1533-position model. The record is from RNAcentral.
UACGGAGGGGGCUAGCGUUGUUUGGAAUUACUGGGCGUAAAGCGCACGUAGGCGGCUUUGUAAGUUAGAGGUGAAAGCCCGGGGCUCAACUCCGGAAUUGCCUUUAAGACUGCAUCGCUAGAAUUGUGGAGAGGUAAGUGGAAUUCCGAGUGUAGAGGUGAAAUUCGUAGAUAUUCGGAAGAACACCAGUGGCGAAGGCGACUUACUGGACACAUAUUGACGCUGAGGUGCGAAAGCGUGGGGAGCAAACAGG